AUGAUAUCCUCAGUGUUGGUUUGGAUGGUGAUGAUGCGACUCCUUCCAAUUGGCCAGAGUUGUAGCGAGGAGACUCUGACGAACUUUAACCAAACGAAUUGUGACAUCUGUCCUCCUGGCUAUCACGCGUCGGAAGCCAUGGCCGGCGGAUACCAAUGCAAGAGGUGUGAGCGCCACACCUUCACCGCAAUAAAAAACUACGUGUCCAAGUGCGAGAGAUGCUCCACGUGUGAUGGAAAUGGCAUGAACGUGUUAACGGAAUGCGUCUACAACAGGGAUGCUUUGUGUGUAUGCCAAGAUGGAUGGUUCCCCAAUUACUUUAUGAACAAAUUGCAAAACUGCUUCCCUUGUUCCGGGCUCCGAAGGGAUGCUGACAUAAGGAAAGAAUGUAUUCGGACGCCACCUGAACCAAGGAAUCUGAACCAGGGUCAGAAGUCAACCUCCGCCACCAUCCUCAUAACCUCUACGGGGCAUGGCCGAUCAGAGGGGAGAUUAGAGCCAUCAAGACCCAGCCCCAGCCCACCAACUGAGCAGGCAAACAACAACACCAUGCUGAUGGUUGUGAUAGUGGCGGUGGUGGCGGCGGCGGUGGCCUUUCUGAUCUGUAACUGGUUAACAGCCGUGGCCCGCAUCCUGUACCGCACCCGACUGCCUGUGGCCAGCGAUGACCCGGAGUCCAAUUCCCUGGGUUGGAGGUUGACCGCUCAAGAGAAUCACCGUCCCAGCAACAUGACUCUUCAUGCGUGUGAGGAGGCUCCGGCGAUGCUGAUCUCUCAGGGCCUGAUGGCAGCCUACCCCAGCCACCAACAACCCCUGCUGAGGCCCAUGGAGGCUCCUGGUGGACACGCCCACUAGCGAUGUCAGGAGGAGGAGGCCGGCUUUCAAAACGGCUUGAGACGGCUAAUCACACUCACACCAGGUGGAACAGUGUGUGACCUUUAACACACAACUGUGAGCCUCUUCCGAGAGGCGCAGUGAUAACAUAGCAAGACAAUAACGACCUCUUGACUCCAGAGACUCUUUCUUAACCAAGCAGAGCCGCACCCCAACCUCCACCCACCCCCCUCAUCUCGCUCCAACCUAACCUCCCCCCCCCCCCCCCCCCCCCCUAUCCAGCAUCAGCCCUCCCCCUGACCUCCUGCCCACCCCCACUUACCCUUCCUCCGAGCUUGCCCCCGGGGGAGCGCUGGCCCCCGGCCGCCCUGUACGCCCUCAUCCAGGAGGUGCCGCUGCGGCGCUGGAAGGAGCUGCUCCGUCACCUGGGCGUGGCCGAGCAGCAGAUGGAGCGGGUGGAGGUGGAGGCCGGCGCCGCCUGCCUGGGCUCCAGGGAGAGGCAGUACCAGAUGCUGCGGCUCUGGACCCAGCGGCCCGCGUCCGCCCUGCCCGAGGUGUACGCCGCGCUGCAGCGCAUGGAGCUGGCCGGCUGCGCCCAGCUGCUCCGGGAGCGCCUGGGGGCCCUGGGGGGGGCGGGGGGGCAGAGUGAAGGGCCGGUCCAGGAGACCAUGGGGCUGGACGGGGGGGGCAGUGUGAAGGGCCCCUCAUGGAGACCUAGGGACUGGACGGGGGGGGCAGUGUGAAGGGCCAUGGGGCUGGAGGGGGGGGGGGGGGGCAGAGUGAAGGGCCCCUCCGCGAGACCAUGAGGCUAGGGGGGGGGGGGGGGGGGCUUCCAAAGGUCUACAUGACACCCAGUCCAAGUUGAUUACACAUUUGAACACGGACAAAAUGGCCGGUUUGCUCCUGAAGUUGGAAGCGCCACGUUGGGC
Long non-coding RNA from Gadus morhua (Atlantic cod), 1763 nucleotides. Lineage: Eukaryota; Metazoa; Chordata; Actinopteri; Gadiformes; Gadidae. The record is from Ensembl.